RNAcentral lists this ribosomal RNA (253 nucleotides) under uncultured bacterium. RNAcentral's name for it is "partial 16S ribosomal RNA". It matches the Rfam family "Bacterial small subunit ribosomal RNA", at positions 524 to 776 of the family's 1533-position model. The record is from RNAcentral.
UACGUAGGGUGCGAGCGUUAAUCGGAAUUACUGGGCGUAAAGCGUGCGCAGGCGGUUCGUUGUGUCGGCGGUGAAAGCCCCGGGCUCAACCUGGGAAUGGCAGUGGAUACUGGAGAGCUAGAGUGCGGUAGAGGGUAGUGGAAUUCCCGGUGUAGCAGUGAAAUGCGUAGAGAUCGGGAGGAACACCAGUGGCGAAGGCGGCUACCUGGACCAGCACUGACACUGAAGCACGAAAGCGUGGGGAGCAAACAGG